UGCUGCCUUUGUUCAGCCUCUCAAGCAAGCGUGGUUCCUCGUACCACUGGCCUGGGAAAGAUCAAAGCUCAAAGGACGGUUUCUACUGUGUGCCGAUGGCUUUCAUACCACCAUAAGGAGGAAAAAUUGUAAGUCAAACUACUUUAAAUUGGGGACUGUUUGUACUUUAAAACAUUUUAAACCACUUGGAAGAGACAAGAAUAAUGACUGGAUACAUUUGGAAAACUCCAUGCCAUAUGUGUUGCAGCUCGUCUACACAGCGGCUGCAUAGCUUCCUCCACGUUCACUCAGCCUCCACAUGGACUCAAGGGCAGAAAGCAAAAGCACUCCCCUCCCCAAAUGCUGAUAAAUAUGGUCUAUCUGCGGUAUUAAUGAUUUUUUCAAUUCACAAAUCAGUUGUCUUUUCCGGGUACCAUUGGAGAAAUUUAACUAUGAAGCUCAUGAGGGAUGGCAAAGUCUGAGCACCCUGGAUGGCGCUGUGCACGCGGAGGGUGAAGUUGUGGUCCCUGCUUCUCAGCAUUCUGGUGAAUCGGUUAUGCAGUGCUUUUCUAGGAAGUGGCUCUGAAUCCGCAUGCACCUCUACACUUCUGUGAAAUGGUAGAGAUGCUUCACUUGUGAGAGGAAGACUGAGGUCUCCAGUUUAAAACCUUUAGUGAGCAGUGACUUGGGGAGUGACUGUCCUGUAUGAUGCGUGCCCCUCAAAGUUACCGCUCUGCAGGCUCCAGACUUCUUCGUCGUGGGUUGUGGUCUGAGCCGUGUCCUUGUGCCGAUUGUACUGGGAAUUGAACCCAGGGCUUUUACACUGAGCUACAUCACCAGCCCUUUGCAUCUUGAGACAGAAUCUUGUGAAGUCUCUAAUUGCCCAGGCUGGAUUUGAACUUGCAGUCCUCUUGCCUCAGCCUACAAUGCCAUGCAUGGUUUCAUAAGUGUUGUUAGAAAGCUACAUUCCCCAAAAAGCCUACGAUUUUUAUAACUCCUCCCCACCUUCUAGCAGACUUAAUACAAGUUUAUCCCAAUAUGUAUAAGUCUUGCAAACAGGACAUUCAACCAGUCUGUGCAUCAGUCACUCCCUGGAACACCCGGAGACCUGUCUUCCUCGCGCUCCAUGGCAGGUUCUGGGGAUGGGGCUGACAGUGGACACUCACUGGCACACCAGCCAGUGCCUACAUCACUGGAGUCCCACAUUGUGACUGUCGCCCUGGGCCAGGAGGCCGCUGUUACCCCAGGUGCAUGACCCUGGCAGACAGUGCUUCAACCCUGAGGCCCAGCUCCAGCCCUUCCUCCCCUGCUGCUUCUCCAGCCUUCCUGUUCCAUGGCCGGGCAGCUUGUCCUCUUCUCCACUGAGUCCAGUCUCUGCAUGAAGCAGAUCUUAAGCACAGCAUUUUCAUCUUUCUGUUCAUCACCCUGGAAUGGGUGCAGAUUCCCCAGUGCCUGAGCAAGAUGACUUCAGGGACUUUCUAGGCAAGACCGUGCCUUUUCCUUCUGAGAGAAAUAAAAUGAGCCGAAUCAUGAACACCCAAGGCAAGGCUUUUAUCAAAGGACAGAGCUAUCGGGCUGUCUGGAACAACGUCAAGAGCGGCAACCUGGGGCUGGCUGGGUGAGGUUUAUAAGGACUGGGGGUAGUGUGGUAGAGGCAGAUGAUUGGCUACGACUCGGGGUGAGGUGGGGAAAAAGCAGGUCUUUGUUCUCUCUGGAGUGACUCAUUUCCUGUAGGCAGGGCCAUUUUAGGAUGCAGGGUUGUUGGGACCAUUUUAUCUAGCAGAGAACUCUAUCACCUUCCACGGUUCCUCGUCCUCUAGCGUCCUGUGUUGGGUUUUCCCAGAAGACAACUUUAAGAGGAGGAUUUGAGUCCAAGGGAUUUAUUUUGGGGGUGAAGUGAGUGGUUUCCCCCAUGAGCACCUGCAUGACCACACAGCAUCUCUGAAUUACCCCAUGCAGGGAAGGUGAGCGAGCAUGGGGGUUCCCCUCCAUUCCCUGGGGUCAUCAGGUGGAGCUGCGGUGGCAUGGCCAGCUGCCAGGGCAUGCCUGUCAUGGUGAGCAGCAAAGCUGUCGUCUUGGUGACUUUGGAAGCCUCGGGAGGAAGCACUCAGGGUACAAGUCCCAAGUGGAUUUACAGGACUUCUGGAGCCCACACUACCCAAGAAAUAAAUCGUGAACAGGUUUACAGGACCUCCAAGGUGAGUCAUUAUUUUAACAGGGCUUAUGCUUCAAAGUCAGGUGUGGAAGAUGUGAAAGGGCUGUUUGCGUGCUGGAAGCCAGCAGAUGAGCUCCAAGGUGAGGGUGGAGAAUGGAGCUGCCUUGAAGAAGUAAGGCUUCCUUCUUUGUUCCUUUCUUUACUCCGUUGUUGUUGUUCGGGACACAGCCUGUUGGUAGGGGCCACUCACACCCAAGGCGGGUCUUCUGUCUUCAGUAAAUCCUUUCAGCCACACCCAGAGCUACGCUAAUCAUUAGCGGUGCAUUUCUUACUCCAGUUGAAACAAGGGCUAUCGCACUCUCCUAGACCAAAACCCAAGAAGUCCCUGGGAAGUGCUACUUACAAAGCAGCUUGCAGGCCUGUGUCCGUGAGGGAGAAUGCUGGGUGUACAAAUAAGGGCCCCAGAUCCCUCUCUCUCUUCCUGAUCUUUGUCGCUCCAGGGUGCCCUCUCUUCAAAUCUGCAGCAGCGUGGGCUGAAGGGGGUGCCACAUUGCCUGUCUGGCUGCACUCCUGCUGGAGUGAAGAGCGCAGUUUGAUAGCGGGGAGGGGGACGCACUAGAUGGCCUGGGGGGACACUGAAGCAAACUGCCCCAGGCAGUUAGGGUGCAAGGAGGGGCAAAGGGAAGUGAGGGGGAGGGGCAGACAGCUGGUGGCCACCCAACCCCCCCAUCACAGGGCAAAAUGAGAGUAAGGUGCUUUGUGGCUGUCUGGCGGUGAAGAAACGAGCACACAACACUCCUGCCCUUGAGAGUCACGGACUCUGCUGGGGAAUGCCAGUAUGCGCCAUUAUUCUUUCUAG
RNAcentral lists this long non-coding RNA (2993 nucleotides) under Heterocephalus glaber (naked mole-rat). RNAcentral describes it as "lncRNA (ENSHGLG00000036124.1)". The record is from RNAcentral. Lineage: Eukaryota; Metazoa; Chordata; Mammalia; Rodentia; Bathyergidae.